GGUCCAGUAGUGUAGCGGUCCAUCACAUCGGAUUCUGAUAAAUUCUCACGGUCUUGGAAAUUUCCGGUAACCCAGGUUCGAUUCCUGGCUGGACCU
Gloeophyllum trabeum ATCC 11539 is the source of this 96-nucleotide transfer RNA. It matches the Rfam family "tRNA". Rfam says of the family: Transfer RNA (tRNA) molecules are approximately 80 nucleotides in length. The record is from Rfam. Lineage: Eukaryota; Fungi; Basidiomycota; Agaricomycetes; Gloeophyllales; Gloeophyllaceae.